This 623-nucleotide ribosomal RNA is filed under the name uncultured Chroococcidiopsis sp. RNAcentral's name for it is "bacterial SSU rRNA". It matches the Rfam family "Bacterial small subunit ribosomal RNA", at positions 338 to 974 of the family's 1533-position model. Lineage: Bacteria; Bacillati; Cyanobacteriota; Cyanophyceae; Chroococcidiopsidales; Chroococcidiopsidaceae. The record is from RNAcentral.
CCUACGGGAGGCAGCAGUGGGGAAUUUUCCGCAAUGGGCGAAAGCCUGACGGAGCAAUACCGCGUGAGGGAGGAAGGCUCUUGGGUUGUAAACCUCUUUUCUCAGGGAAGAACAAAAUGACGGUACCUGAGGAAUAAGCAUCGGCUAACUCCGUGCCAGCAGCCGCGGUAAUACGGAGGAUGCAAGCGUUAUCCGGAAUUAUUGGGCGUAAAGCGUCCGCAGGUGGCAAUUCAAGUCUGCUGUUAAAGGUUCUGGCUCAACCAGAGACAGGCAGUGGAAACUGAAUAGCUAGAGUGCGGUAGGGGCAGAGGGAAUUCCCAGUGUAGCGGUGAAAUGCGUAGAGAUUGGGAAGAACACCGGUGGCGAAAGCGCUCUGCUAGGCCGUAACUGACACUCAUGGACGAAAGCUAGGGGAGCGAAUGGGAUUAGAUACCCCAGUAGUCCUAGCCGUAAACGAUGGAUACUAGGCGUUGCUCGCAUCGACCCGAGCAGUGCCGUAGCUAACGCGUUAAGUAUCCCGCCUGGGGAGUACGCGCGCAAGCGUGAAACUCAAAGGAAUUGACGGGGGCCCGCACAAGCGGUGGAGUAUGUGGUUUAAUUCGAUGCAACGCGAAGAACCUUAC